CCUACGGGUGGCAGCAGUGAGGAAUAUUGGUCAAUGGGCGGAAGCCUGAACCAGCCAAGUCGCGUGAGGGAAUAAGGCCCUACGGGUCGUAAACCUCUUUUGCCGGGGAGCAAGGGCGGGUCGUGUCCCGGCCCUGAGAGUACCCUGUGAAAAAGCAUCGGCUAACUCCGUGCCAGCAGCCGCGGUAAUACGGAGGAUGCGAGCGUUAUCCGGAUUUUUUGGGUUUAAAGGGUGCGUAGGCGGGCUUUUAAGUCAGCGGUAAAAAUUCGGGGCUCAACCCCGGACGGCAGUUGAAACUGGGGGCCGUGAGUGGGCGAGAAGAAGGCGGAAUGCGUGGUGUAGCGGUGAAAUGCAUAGAUAUCACGCAGAACCCCGAUUGCGAAGGCAGCCUUCCGGAGCCCGACUGACGCUGAGGCACGAAAGUGUGGGUAUCGAACAGGAUUAGAUACCCCAGUAGUC
RNAcentral lists this ribosomal RNA (459 nucleotides) under uncultured bacterium. Its description in RNAcentral is "partial 16S ribosomal RNA". It matches the Rfam family "Bacterial small subunit ribosomal RNA", at positions 338 to 795 of the family's 1533-position model. The record is from RNAcentral.